Molecule: long non-coding RNA, 5276 nt
Filed under: Homo sapiens (human)
Lineage: Eukaryota; Metazoa; Chordata; Mammalia; Primates; Hominidae
Description: HSALNT0359257
Source: RNAcentral
UUGAAGAAAAAUUUUUAAUGAGUUUAGUGUAGCCUAGGUGUACACUAGGUGUUUAUAGAGUCUACGAUAGUGUACAGUCAUGUCCUAGGCCUUCACAUUCACUCAUCACUCACUAACUCACACAGAGCAACUUCUGGUCCUGCAAACUCCAUUCGUGUUGAGUGUCCUAUGUAGGUGUAUUACUUUAUAUCUUUUGUACUAUAUUUUUACUGUAUUUUUUCUUUGUUUAGAAAUGUUUGGAUACACAAACACUAGUGUGUUACAAUUGCCUACAGUAUUCAUUCAGUACAGUAACAUGCUGUUGCAACCUAGAAGCAAUAAGCUACACCAUAUAGCCUAGGUGUGCAGUAGGCUACACCAUCUAGCUUUGUGUAAGUACAUUCUUUGAAGCUUGCACGAUGACAAAAUUGCCUAAUGACACAUUUCUCAGAACAUAACUCCAUCAUUAAGCUACAUAACUUAAACCCCUGCUAUGCAAUGAAACUCAGGUAGCAUAUUAAAAAAUAGAUAACUCAAGCAUUGCAUACAGAGAAGCCAUUCUUGGAACACCAGACAAUAAGCAUUGCAUUAGAUCAGAGCAGUUCUGGGCACAUCUAUGGUCAACAAGAAAUAUUCUCAAAGUCUGAACUUUGAGCUAUAGUAGACAGACAAACUAAGAAUUCCUCAAAGUUAGUAUUUCCAACCGUGAUGUAAGAGUCUAUUCUGAGUGUUGUGACAAACUAUCUCCAGAUCUCGCUAGAGUAACACAAUAAAGGUUUGUUUCUCACCCAUCACAGUCGGGUAUGGCUGUAUGAGGGAGGCGUGAGGAAGGAUCUGCUCCUCGCCCAUCACAGUCGGGUAUGGCUGUAUGAGGGAGGCGUGAGGAAGGCUCUGCUCCAUGCAUUCAUGGAAGUGGCCUUGAUCACCAGCCUAGCACUUCACUGGCAGGGCUCAGUCAAUGACAUCUAGUGGCUGGGAAGCUCGGAAAUGAGCUUUCCUUUGUGCUCAGAAGUAGGACUUGGGCGAACACAUAGCAGUAUCUCUGCUCCAUCCACAUAAACGGGCUCAGAACUUAAAUGGAAAGAGACGCUGAAGAGGGCAUCAAAUAUAUGAGAACUGGAACAGGGAAAGGAACAAAGAUCUGAACAGGAUCAGAUAGAGAUAUUUGCCUACAGACAAGUCCUUGGUUAAAAGACCGUGGAAAUUGAUUCUAGAACUAUAUAUUAUUUAUGGCUUGUGGGACGCAGAAAUGUGUUCUGGUUACCUGUGCAAUAAACUGUACAUACUUCUCAUUUCAGAGUUGGAGUCAAUCACUCUCUGUUGGCCUUUUUUGCUGUCUUUACAAAGUCAUGGGUUAACGAACCCUACUGGGUACUUCUAACAUGAGGUGUCUGGGCUGGGAGAGUCUUACUGGCAAUUGAUGUCAAGAUUCUUCGUCCAGAGGCACAGAGCAGAAAGGUUCUUGGUCCACAGACACCUUAAAACAAGGCCACCCUGGCCAGGUUUAUUCCCGUCUGGCGGCCUACACAUUUCUUAUAUCCUGGAAAAACUGGUGAGCAAGCAAGUGUCGACCUCAGAGUCUCUGACAGGGCUAUUUUGAAACCACACACCAUGAAAACUCUCAGGGAAGUUAAAAAACAAACAAUCAUAACCAAGGCAGUUUAGCUGUUUUGAAAAGAGAUGGAGCUUCAUUACUUCAAACCCAAAUUUCUGCAAGCCUGACAACCACCUUACAUCAAAAUAAACGUCUACCUGCUAGCUGAAAUGUUUAAAAACACAGGUGAGCUCUAUUCUCUGAAAUACAAGCCUUCUCUAACCUGAGAAAUGUAAAUACCUAUGAAGGUGGGUCCAUGAAGGGGAGGUUGAUGAGGAUGGGCCUAUGUAAGAGUGUGUGUCAAGGUUGUUACUUGUAUUUGUGUUACCCUGUGGAUGUGUGUGUGUGUGUGUUUGUGUGUGUGAGAGAGAGAUUCAGAGCAGGAAGAGGAAGGCAACUCACAUGGAUCCAUGUUUUUCGUAACACUGUGUGAAACUCCAGUUAAUUGACUGUAAAAAAAUAGGAACCCACAAGUAACUGACAUUAGUACCGCUGAAAGGCUCCCAGAAGACCUAACUCUUGCUGGCUCCAUAAUCACAAGCACCUGCAAAGCUCUGCCUUGGUGAGGAGAGGGCAGAGCACACCUGCUAACCGACAUCUGCCUGGAGGAAGGAAAGACAGAGCUUCAACCCUGAACACAGAGUGCUGGUCUCUCUUAUGUGCUUGACUGUCAUGCUCAGUUGCAUUGUGCAUGAGUCUGCCUGUCAGCCUGCACUGAAUUUUGCAGCACUGUUCCAGGGUUUACUAUCUGCACUCUGUUCCCAAAGACCUGUUGCCCCUACCUGUGUGCUCCCGGAGGAAUCUGGUUUCUAUAACAACAGACCCCAUCACCAGCGUGGUGCACAAGGCCACCUGCCAAUCCAUUCUGAUUAAGCCCAGCCCUCAGCCUGUCCCCUCCAGACCUGUCACACCAAUUCCCAUUCAGGCACCAGCACUGAUCAUCAGUAUUUCCCAAGAGUGGAAAGGGGAAAAUAGAGACUCAGUAAAUAUAUGUAAAUAAAAGCAGAGUUUUCGUAAGCCAUUCUAAUCUUGAUAUAGUUUGCAUUUCCUUCACUGUUGCUUUAUAAAAGCCCUCUUAAGCUUGCAGCAAGAAGAAUAGGAAGUCAGCUGUCAAUUAGCUUACUAUGAUGUUUUCUCAGUCAUAUUUUGAAAGAGAAGUUGAAUUCAACAUUUUCCAAAAAUCUGCAAACAGCAGCAUGCUGCAUUUAUGGAGAUGACACCUUUUGUGGGUUUUUCUCUUUCAUGGGUAGGAUUUUUCGGAGAGACCACACUGGGAGAAGAGAAUAGGUGAGGAGUUGCUCUGUGAGCUUGCUGCAAUCUGGAAGGAAUAAAGUUGCAGAAAUAGGAAAUUGGAAGCAGAAAUAGGAUAUAGGAAAGUCUUAAGGACUACGAUUUUUGUAUUGCAACUAGAUUCACCUUUGCAGCCAUCCUUUUAACAAGACAAGCCACUCAACUAAUACAUGCUCUGAAGGAGCGAACAGAACUGACUAAACUAAUACAGAAGCAGGGGCUCAGUGGCUGCAGGUUGCAUGAAAAAUUACCCAUUGCAGUUGCAGGGCCCCAUUGUGAGCACCGGUCCUCUAGGAGAAUGCUGGGCUACUUCUUUCUUUACCAAUUGUUGCUAAGAGCAGGUGACCUCACAUGCUGUUUUAGCAACUCUUACUACUGAGAAUUAUUCUCUUGGGAAGUUCAGAAGCUGGCAAAAUAAAUCUUUGUAUUCACUCUGCUUAUAUUCUGACAACACUGACUAAAAUCCUCUACUUUGAAAAGGAAAUAUUCUUCCCAGGCAAAUGCAACUGAUGAAAUAGAUUCUCUGUGUGUGGAUUUGAAGGUGUUAAAGUAAUGAUACUAAUUGCUUUCAUUUUGAUAAGCUUUACAGGCUCCAGAGUUCUCUCACGAGUUCCAUUUCAUUUGAUAUUUGCAGUUACCAUGUGAGGUAAGCAGAGCUGACCUUGACUGGCAUCUCUAUCAGCAGCUCAGUGGGAUUAAAUGGCUUGCCAAUGUCACAAGAAUGUGAGCUCCUUUCUUCAUCUUUCUGCUCCAAUGUAGCAACUACCAAGGGGCCACCUGACAGAACAUGGCCGCUGCAGAGGAACCCUGCUACCUGCAGUUGGUGACAUGGCCUAGGUCCCAGAGGCCUCGUGGUGCCACACACACAAGAACAGGCACCAACAACCAGUGACAUUUUGACAGUCAAAUGGAACCUGUGACUGCCAUCUGUAGAUGUGCCAGCCAAGAAUGUGACCCUGGGGAAAGCCCUUCACACAGGUCUUUCCUUGGUGUAUUUAUAUUUAGUUCCAGCGAAAAACUGCAGUUGUUUUUCUCAGUGACAGGCAUCAAACGAUAACCGAAAAGAAUGAGAAAUAAUUGUUCCCUUUCUCCCUGUUAGGAGAUUGUACUCUUUGAAUUUGGGACCACAGCUCUCUGAACAGCUAGCUCUCCCAUGCCUGGCUCAUGAGACAUCAUAAAUGUUGAUUGUAUUAAAGACAAUUUAGAGGGAAAGGACUUGAAUUCUGGUUCUAAGCUAUUAAAAAUAUUUCUACAUUUUAAUUUUUAAAUUAAGAAAGAUUUUGUACAUAUGGAAAGGUGCAGAAUAUAAAACAGACAACCAUAUGCUUACCAUCCAGAUUAAACAACUGUUAACGUUUUCUCGUAUUUACUUCAGAUCACUUGAAACAAAAGAAAGACAAAAAGAUACGGCUAAAGCCUUGGCCCCCUUCACUCACAUCCCUCCCCUCCUCCCCUCUGCAGAGCAACUUCUGCCUGAAGCUGGUGUGUGUCAUUUCCAUGCAUGAUCUUGUGCUUUCAGUACAUAUUUGUAUAUCCAAAACAAUAUUUACUAUUGUUUUGUGUGCAUUCUUAAUUUACAUAAAUGGCAUCAUAUUGUAAAUUCUCUUGCAACUUGGCUUUUCUUACUCAACAGUACAUUUUAGGGACUUAUUUAUGUUGUGUGGAUACAGUGUAGACCUAGUUCAUUCAUUUUAACUUAAUUGUGAAAUACCAUAGUUUACUUAUCCAUUUCCCUAUUGGGUAAAAUUAGUUAUUGCUUUAUUGUCGUUGUUGUUUAUUGCAAUGAACAUGCCUGUGCAUGCAUCUUUGUGCACGUGUUUGUUAGUGUAAAUGCCCUGAAGUGAAAUUGCUAAUUAGUAGGAAAUAUACUUCUGCACCUUCCUUAGCAGAGACAAAUUGUUCUCCCAAGUGGUUGUACCUAUUUGAACUCAUGCUAGAUUAGAAAUCCCUGUGUUCCUACAUCCUUACCAUCAUUUGUGAGGCUUUCAAUUUUUCUUAUCCAAUAAGUACAAAUGACAUUUUAUUUUUUUAAUUCACAUCUCUCUAAUUAUUCAUGAGCUUAAGCAUUUUUACAUGUUUACUAACCAGUUGUGUAUGUGCAUGUGUGUGCAUGUGAGAGAGAGAGAGAAAUAGGUUUUAAUCCUUUGUUCUUUUCUUAUAAAUUUAUAGUUGUAUUUAUUCUGAAGUUCUUAUCUGAGUUGAAAAGUGUUCUCACAAAUGGUAUCUUGCCUUUUAAUUUUGUUUAUGUCAUGUUCUAUUAUAAAUAGCUUUUUAAUUUUCAUGUAGUUAAAUUUAUAUGUCUUUUCAAGGUUUGUGGGCAUUUGUCCCUUAGUUAAUAAAUCUGUUUCUAACUCUACAUUCAAGAUAUUCUCCCACAUUGUUUUCUAAAAAUUCUAAAUUUUUUUUCCCUUCA